CUCACUCAUGCCUGUGUAGGAGAAUUGUAUGUGAGUGACUUGCCUUUGCCAGAACUAAUAAAGAGCAGAGCAAACUGUGGGCCAGAUCAUCCAGCUCCAAGUUUAGUCAACCUUCCACUUAAAAUAUGUAUAAUUAAUUCAUGUAAUUAGUGCAUUCUAUAAUGUAUUAUGGGAGAAGGCAAUGGCACCCCACUCCAGUACUGUUGCCCGGAAAAUCCCAUGGAUGGAGGAGUCUGGUAGGCUGCAGUCCAUGGGGUCGCUAAGAGUCAGACACGACUGAGUGACUUCACUUUCACUUUCUACUUUCAUGCACUGGAGAAGGAAAUGGCAACCCACUCCAGUGUUCUUGCCUGGAGAAUCCCAGGGACGGGGGAGCCUGGUGGGCUGCCAUCUAUGGGGUCGCACAGAGUCAGACACGACUGAAGUGACUUAGCAGCAGCACGGUGCCUGCGUUAGGCUAUACAUGUUAACAGUCCACACAAGUCUGCUAGGUGAGCAACAUACUUAGACAAGGGAAGAGGACAGAUUAGCAAAGUUUCGUUUUUGAUUCUACUCUUUUUCUGUCUACAAGCAAAUAUACUAAGGGUACCAGGAAACAUAGCCUACUUGUUGACUAAUGAUGAAAUGAUAUGGCCCUUCAUUAUAUACAUAAAAGCUUAUGAAGCCACUGUGAAAUCUGCAAAGAAUCGUUUUGCCUUUUGACCCAUUUUCAAGUGGAAAGCAAAGUUCUCUUCCCAGUUCCCAUCAUCUGCCUCAAGAGAAAGAAUUACUGAACUCCCACUGCCUAUAGAGAAAAAAUGGGACUGGGGGAGUCAAGGCAGUGCUGACCUGCCUGGGACUCCCCACUGCCUGCUGGGUGAGAAUGGACAGGGCACUCCAGACCCUUUUUCUAUCUCCACUACCCCUUCCACUGCCUGUCUCUCUCACUCCCCUAAAUGCUCUCUUGGAGUUAAAAAUAAAUACAUAUUCCAGAAAGCCCCUGGGCAAAAUGAAAGUGAGUUACCGAGAAUGUUCAUAAUUAAGGUAUUAGAAUCCAUUAACAGAAAAUUCUUUUUUUUUUUUUUAAGACUAUCUGGCUGCCUAGUCUACAGCCCUGAGGACAAAAGCAUCAUCAGUGACAAGGAGACGUCCUGCUGGGGAGUAAGAUUUUACCGAGACCCAGUUGAGGAGACAUAUGUGGGGAACUUGGAUCGUCUGAGACAAGCUGUCAAUGCCAGGCAAGCAGCGAUAUGCGUCCUUUCCACCUUCCAUUUUGCUGUAUAAUAUCUCCCACCUUGGCUACAGUUUUGGUGGAACUGUCAAUCAACUCAUCAGGACUGAACUGCCUCCGCCAAGAGGUGAGUUUGUGAUCCAAGUUCUGUCAAUCAGAUGCCCUCUCCCUGGAAUUUGAUUCUUUGGCAGAGUAACAGUGAGGCUGAAGGGAGAAGGAACUCAUUCAUCACUGUCUUUUUACUUUCUACUGUCUCUUUCUAUCACAGAGCUGUACUCAUACUUCAACUUUCUCUUCAAGUAUUGAGUUAUACUGAAUCUUUCCAAUAAAUCCCCUGAUUUUUCUUUCCCUUAAGCAGGUGGGUGGUAGCUUUGUUGUUUGCAUCCAACUGUAGCCAUAUCUUGAAUACCUUCUUUGGAUAAAUAAAAAUACAUUCCUAUUUCUUGCCCCAAACUAGUCUUUCUCUUCAUGCUACUUUAGUCAGCUCAAAUCUUCCCCCAACCCCAGUCCCUCAUCCAAGAGGGAAAGAAAAAACACUCUCUACUAUUUGCUCUAAUCCCCCAAAUGAGGAAUUCACACAAGUCCCUGAAUUCACCCUGUGUCCCAAAGACAAAAAUACAUAUGCCAACACUGCUAGCAAUGGUGUCUUCUUUCUUGGUCAUGUUAUA
Molecule: long non-coding RNA, 1878 nt
Filed under: Bos grunniens (domestic yak)
Lineage: Eukaryota; Metazoa; Chordata; Mammalia; Artiodactyla; Bovidae
Description: lncRNA (ENSBGRG00000015489.1)
Source: RNAcentral